UUUUUUCUUCUUCUUCUUUCCUG
This 23-nucleotide small RNA is filed under the name Arabidopsis thaliana (thale cress). Its description in RNAcentral is "ATSL245120". The record is from RNAcentral. Lineage: Eukaryota; Viridiplantae; Streptophyta; Magnoliopsida; Brassicales; Brassicaceae.